Molecule: long non-coding RNA, 1985 nt
Organism: Brachypodium distachyon (stiff brome)
Lineage: Eukaryota; Viridiplantae; Streptophyta; Magnoliopsida; Poales; Poaceae
Exons: 2
Source: RefSeq, a predicted model, not a curated record
AACUGCUUUUGGCCUCCUGCUUGCUCUUCUUGUGCAGUCUGAUUACUCCGCUUGCUGAUACUGCUUCGGCUUCGGUCUGGUUGCUUCUGUCGGACGCCGCGUAUACGAGACCGAGUAGAAGACGAAAUCGGCGGACGCGUCUUCAAAUCGGCGAUCGGCAGCGGAACGGAAAAAAUUCCCGUCGGCUUGGAGCUCGGCGGAAUCGGCGGAACGGAACUCUCGCACGGAGUCGCCAAAGUGUCUCCUAGAUUUAAUCUCAGCAAGGUGACUCUGAUACCACUUGUUAUGAAAAUAGAGAUUAAACUAGAAACGAGAGAAUGUUAGAAUAUUACAGUCUUUAGGUGUGACUACAUGAGGUAUAUAUAACGGACAAUAAACAUGAGUUCUAAUAGAACAAGGAAAACGAGUUCAACUCGUAUACCAACACAAAACCCAAACCUAUCCUGCUACGUCUAUCAGAGUUGGUAACGCAUUCGGAUCACUUUCAACACCCUGAAACCACUGACCAUCUUUGUAGAACUUGCCAUUUCACUAGGAAGGUUUGGGAUUUGGUUAGGCUCUAGUCUAGGGAUCCUCCAUCCAGAAUCAAUACUGCCUCCUCCAUUGAUGAAUGGUGGGAGUUUGACAACGCUCAAUGAAACCAGGAAGCGAGAUUUUGACAGCUUAAUCAUCUAUACCUUCUGGAGCAUGUAGAAUGAGAGAAACCGCCGUAUUUUUCAGCAUCAAGAUAAGGAUGAGGAGAAUGUUGCUGUUGCUUCUCGUGAGGAGUUUCAAGGGUUUAGGACUUCUGGAAAAAAUAUGUUGAGGUUGUCACGACUGAUGAAAAAAAAUGCUGCAUGCACGUGUUGUCUCGAACUCUCGGGAGAAACAUUGCUUGGCCAAAAUGAUGAGAGUAAAUUGUAGACCAACGAUGACAUCAUCUCCAUCGAGCCAAGGUAGGAAGCAGAGCGGUAAAAGGAAAAAUGUUGGUCGAAUUUUCUACUUCCUCCGUCCAACAAAAAAUGUUUCGACUAAAUUUGAAUGCAUUUAUACACCAAGUCAUAUCUAGAUACAUUUAAAUUUUGACAAACUUAAAAUAUUUUUUAUUGGACGAAAAGAGUAUUGCAAUUCUGAUGCCUCUUGUAGUUCGUCUGUUUCAAGACUUUCUAGUCAGGAUGGACAUGUAUGAUCUAAGUGGUGAGAAACAAUUCUUAUAUGAUCCAAGUACUUUCUGUGUCAUUGAUCGCACAUCAUAUGAGCAAUUGGAUGCUGGAUAUCAUUGUGCAACAGUAUCGGUCUGACCAAAUUGAUGAUCGUAUUUCAAACUGAAGUUAGAGUUCUAUAUUUUGAGAGCAAAAUUGAAAUGAGACUUUAUUUAUCUAAGAUUCACGUAUGCUCAAAUCACCUAGCAAACAAUGUUCGUGUUAUGGAAAAGCAUUGAAAAGAAAACCUGUCCACCGCCAACCUAAGGAUACAGAUAGGAUUGCUCUUCGAAUUCAAGCCAGGUAAACAGUCGGCAAUGUGCCUCCUGCCGGAAGGGCUGCACAGGCAUCGGCCCGAGAAAAGAUGAGCGGGAGCAGACGCUGCCAACAGAUCCAUAACUAAUUAAAAACUGUACACCAUUAAUCAAAGAAGACAUUGAAUGUACGGAGUAACACUUUUAGAUGCAGGACUAAGUGCCCACAUAGUUACUUGCCAUUAAAAAAAAGCCACUGUACAGUAAUACAGAUGUGAAUUUAUUUUGAUUUGAAACGAGAGCAACGGCUGCUUAACCAAAAGCACCAGCUCCUGAAUAUGACUGUAUGCAGAACACCAUCAAACGCCACAUUAUAACACGUCAGGUCACAGAACAUGAAACCAAUCAACAGAGCAGCAAUGCCUUUAUGAUAAUGCAAAGAUAAAUAGAUUCUCAGCUCAUGAUGAUUGACACAGUAAAAGCAGCUGCCUUGAUAAACAAAGGUUCAGAGGUCCAAACAGCUGACAUCUACUAGGCUCACAGUCGAAAA